Molecule: microRNA precursor, 105 nt
Filed under: Medicago truncatula (barrel medic)
Lineage: Eukaryota; Viridiplantae; Streptophyta; Magnoliopsida; Fabales; Fabaceae
Description: miRNA gene1933
Rfam family: MIR2587 microRNA precursor family (bases 6-99)
Source: RNAcentral
UAGUGGUGUCAUGGUCAUUGUUGACUGCUCAUACGACCCCUACAAUUGCAUUGCAGCUUAUGCGUGGGUCGUAUAACGGUCAACAAAGAUCAUUGACAUCAAAGA